RNAcentral lists this ribosomal RNA (1438 nucleotides) under uncultured bacterium. Its description in RNAcentral is "partial 16S ribosomal RNA". It matches the Rfam family "Bacterial small subunit ribosomal RNA". The record is from RNAcentral.
AGAGUUUGAUCAUGGCUCAGGAUGAACGCUGGCGGCAUGCCUAACACAUGCAAGUCGAACGAGAUCUUCGGAUCUAGUGGCGCACGGGUGAGUAACGCGUGGGAACCUACCUUUUAGUACGGGACAACGUUUGGAAACGAAUGCUAAUACCGUAUACGCCCUCCGGGGGAAAGGUCAGCCGCUGAAAGAGGGGCCCGCGUCUGAUUAGCUUGUUGGUAAGGUAACGGCUUACCAAGGCUACGAUCAGUAGCUGGUCUGAGAGGAUGAUCAGCCACACUGGGACUGAGACACGGCCCAGACUCCUACGGGAGGCAGCAGUGGGGAAUAUUGGACAAUGGAGGCAACUCUGAUCCAGCAAUGCCGCGUGUGUGAUGAAGGCCCUAGGGUUGUAAAGCACUUUCAACGGUGAAGAUGAUGACGGUAGCCGUAGAAGAAGCCCCGGCUAACUUCGUGCCAGCAGCCGCGGUAAUACGAAGGGGGCGAGCGUAGUUCGGAAUUACUGGGCUUAAAGAGUUCGUAGGUGGUUGAAAAAGUUGGUGGUGAAAUCCCAGAGCUUAACUCUGGAACUGCCAUCAAAACUUUUUAGCUAGAGUAUGAUAGAGGAAAGCAGAAUUUCUAGUGUAGAGGUGAAAUUCGUAGAUAUUAGAAAGAAUACCAAUUGCGAAGGCAGCUUUCUGGAUCAUUACUGACACUGAGGAACGAAAGCAUGGGUAGCGAAGAGGAUUAGAUACCCUCGUAGUCCAUGCCGUAAACGAUGUGUGUUAGACGUUGGAAAUUUAUUUUCAGUGUCGCAGCGAAAGCAAUAAACACACCGCCUGGGGAGUACGACCGCAAGGUUAAAACUCAAAUGAAUUGACGGGGACCCGCACAAGUAGUGGAGCAUGUGGUUUAAUUCGAAGAUACGCGCAGAACCUUACCAACACUUGACAUGUUCGUCGCGACUUUAAGAGAUUAAAGUUUUCGGUUCGGCCGGACGAAACACAGGUGCUGCAUGGCUGUCGUCAGCUCGUGUCGUGAGAUGUUGGGUUAAGUCCCGCAACGAGCGCAACCCUCACUUUUAGUUGCCAUCAUUUAGUUGGGCACUCUGAAAGAACUGCCAGUGAUAAGCUGGAGGAAGGUGGGGAUGACGUCAAGUCCUCAUGGCCCUUACGUGUUGGGCUACACACGUGCUACAAUGGCAUUUACAAUAGGAAGCAAGACGGCGACGUCAAGCAAAUCCUAAAAAGAUGCCUCAGUUCGGAUUGUACUCUGCAACUCGAGUACAUGAAGCUGGAAUUACUAGUAAUCGCGGAUCAGCGCGCCGCGGUGAAUACGUUCCCGGGUCUUGUACACACCGCCCGUCACACCAUGGGAGUUGGUUCUACCUUAAGGCAAGGUUUUAAACCCUUGACUACGGUAUAGUCAGCGACUGGGGUGAAGUCAUAACAAGGUAGCCGUA